AUGUGUGUUUGGUGUGGAGCUGAUCUUGGCUUCUGGAUAUGGAGCCUGGGACUGGACUUCUGCUGGUGGAAUUCUCCAGAGUUCAACCUCUGGUUCCUCACUGCUUCAGACACUUCCACACUGUUGUACUUACCAAUUACCCUGCCCUCCAAAGGUGUGUGUGUACCCAUGCACCUGGGACCCAGCUGUUGUCCUGUGUCUCAGGUCUUGGGGUUCUGUCAGUCUACUCAACAAAGGUCAUAAAAACAUCAUUGUGGAUGCAUUCUGGAACAUGUGGCCAUAGAAAAAAGAGAUCUUCAAAACCACGAAGUCUGCUGCCUCUAGACCCAUCUUGGAGUUUGCAAUAGACUGAUUAUAUUAACAUGUUUGCAUAUUUUACUUCUCUUCUUAUUCUGUUACAGAGGACACCAAACCCAACAAUGCUAGUCAUGUUUCAACUGCUUCAAUUACAAAAACAAAAAAAGAGAAAUUGAUGGAGACCACUAUGAAGUGGCUCUGAGAAGAAUUUAUAUUAACCAAUUGGCUUCUCAGGUUUACUUGUAAGUCUGUCAAAGGCCUAAGCCUCUUGUCUAGAGAUGGGUGGCCUGUGAUGGUGGGUGAAGCCAUAGAACCUAGGAAGACAAGACAAGACUGAUAUGAACAGUUGUUUAAUUAGAACCCCUGGCUAAUAUCCUUAGUUACUGGACUGGCUGCUCCCAUCUUGAUAAUAAUUGUCAUCCAGAUCUUUGGGCUGUGCCUCAUUCAUUCGAUAAAAGGUAGACUCCAAAGUACUGUAAAUCAGUCACAGAUGAUGGUCCUAGUUGAAACAGCUGAGUAUGAGCCACCACCAUAUGAAGAACUAUAUACAUCCUAAGUAAGGAAACUAUGUCCUUGAGAGGAGAAUGACGUGGCUGAUGUAACUGCCCUGUUUUUGCCAUGUUUAUCCAUAGGUUAAGCAUAGGUAACUCCAUUUUGUUUCUGAACUCCAUUUUAAUGGUCACUUACACUCCAUAUGAACUUACUCCAUCCCUCCUCCUAUUCAGUUAACCAUAAAACCCACAGGGGAGGGAAAGGUCAUUAACUUAAGGAACAAAGAGUUAGGAG
This 1083-nucleotide long non-coding RNA is filed under the name Chinchilla lanigera (long-tailed chinchilla). RNAcentral describes it as "lncRNA (ENSCLAG00000022249.1)". Lineage: Eukaryota; Metazoa; Chordata; Mammalia; Rodentia; Chinchillidae. The record is from RNAcentral.